RNAcentral lists this unclassified non-coding RNA (362 nucleotides) under soil metagenome. RNAcentral's name for it is "partial contains 5.8S ribosomal RNA, internal transcribed spacer 2, and large subunit ribosomal RNA". The stretch from base 1 to 120 matches the Rfam family "5.8S ribosomal RNA", at positions 35 to 154 of the family's 154-position model. The record is from RNAcentral.
GAUGAAGAACGUAGCGAAAUGCGAUAAGUAAUGUGAAUUGCUGAAUUCAGUGAAUCAUCGAAUCUUUGAACGCACCUUGCGCUCCUUGGUAUUCCGAGGAGCAUGCCUGUUUGAGUGUCAUUAAUAUAUCAACCUUCUCUUUUUUGAGUUGUUUGGAUGUGGGGGUUUGCUGGCCUCUUAAAUGAUUCAGCUCCCCUGAAAUGCAUUAGCAGAACAACCUGUUCAUUAGCGUGAUAAUUAUCUAUGCUAUUGAAUGUGAGGGCAGUUCAGCUUUCUAACCGUCCUUGGACAAUUCAUCAUUAAUGUGACCUCAAAUCAGGUAGGACUACCCGCUGAACUUAAGCAUAUCAAUAAGCGGAGGA